Molecule: ribosomal RNA, 278 nt
Filed under: uncultured Bacteroides sp.
Lineage: Bacteria; Pseudomonadati; Bacteroidota; Bacteroidia; Bacteroidales; Bacteroidaceae
Description: partial 16S ribosomal RNA
Rfam family: Bacterial small subunit ribosomal RNA
Source: RNAcentral
GCAGCCGCGGUAAUACGGAGGAUGCGAGCGUUAUCCGGAUUUAUUGGGUUUAAAGGGAGCGUAGACGGGGGAUUAAGUCAGUUGUGAAAGGCUGCGGCUCAACCGCAGCACUGCAGUUGAUACUGGUUCCCUUGAGUGCGGUUGAGGUAUGUGGAAUUCGUGGUGUAGCGGUGAAAUGCUUAGAUAUCACGAAGAACUCCGAUUGCGAAGGCAGCAUACUAAGCCGCUACUGACGUUGAGGCUCGAAAGUGUGGGUAUCAAACAGGAUUAGAUACCCC